This is a long non-coding RNA of Pogoniulus pusillus (Red-fronted tinkerbird), 238 nucleotides long. RefSeq lists it as uncharacterized. NCBI's taxonomy places the organism in Eukaryota, Metazoa, Chordata, Aves, Piciformes, Lybiidae. The transcript has 3 exons. The record is from RefSeq and is a predicted model, not a curated record.
AAUUGUGAACAGAGGAAGAUGGAAUUUGGUUUCAAGUAAAGAAAAAGCUAGCAGAGAACUGGACAUUGCUGAUGAUAUUCUACUUUAGCUUCCACUUUCAAGUUUUCUAAAUGGAUUCAUGCUUUAAUUUCUCCCAGAGAUCAGAAUAUUCCUGCUUUCAUGAAAAACAGGCUCAGAUCCAGGCAGCUCCAUCUCUAACGAGGUCAAACUUAAGCUUUGCAUGGAAAAAUCCUUUGCC